Zonotrichia albicollis (white-throated sparrow) is the source of this 1196-nucleotide long non-coding RNA. NCBI's taxonomy places the organism in Eukaryota, Metazoa, Chordata, Aves, Passeriformes, Passerellidae. The record is from Ensembl.
AUUGGGGUUUCUGGCUCUGGAAUGAUGAUUGACUGGGAUUUCUGGCUCUGGAAUUUUGCUUUAUUUGGAUUUCUGACUCUGGAAUUACAAUUUACUGGAAUUUCUGGCCCUGGAAUUAUGGUUUACUGGGAUUUUUUGCUCUGGAAUCAUGCUUGACUGGGAUUUUUGGUUCUGGAAUUGCGAUUGGGAUUUCUGGCUCUGGAAUUAUGAUUGAGAUUUCUGGCUCUGGAAUUUUGGUUUAUUUGGAUUUUUGGCUCUGGAAUUAGGAUUGACUGGGAUUUUUUGCUCUGGAAUUAUUAUUGGGAUUUCUGGCUCUGGAAUUUUGGUUUACUGGGAAUUUUGGCUCUGGAAUUUUGGUUUUCUGUGAUUUCUAGCUCUGGAAUUAUGAUUGGGAUUUCUGGCUCUGGGAUUCUGGUUUAUUGGGAUUUCUGGCUCUGGAAUUUUGGUUUAUUUGGAUUUCUGGCUCUGGAAUUAGGAUUGACUGGGAUUUUUUGCUCUGGAAUUAUUAUUGGGAUUUAUGGCUCUGGAAUUAUGGUUUACAGGGAUUUCUGGCUCUGGGAUUUUGGUUUACUGGGGCAUUUGGCUCUGGAAUUUUGAUUUUCUGCGAUUUCUUGCUCUGGAAUUAUGAUUGGGAGUUUUGGCUCUGGAGUUUUGGUUUAUUUGGAUUUCUGGCUCUGGAAUGAUGAUUGACUGGGAUUUUUUGCUCUGGAAUUAUUAUUGGGAUUUCUGGCUCUGGAAUUUUGGUUUACUGGGAAUUUUGGCUCUGGAAUUUUGGUUUAUUUGGAUUUCUGGCUCUGGAAUGAUGCUUGACUGGGAUUUCUGGCUCGAAUUUUGUUUUACUGGGAUUUCUGGCUCUGGAGUUACGGUUUAUUUGGAUUUCUGGCUCUGGAAUUUAGGUUUCCUGAGAUUUCUGCCUCUGGAAUUUCAGUUUUCUGGGAUUUUUGAAUCCUUCCCUGCUCCAGCACGUAGCAGGGAUGAGCUGGUGAUGGGGGAGGAUUAUUCUGAUUUUCUGCUCUUUUUUCCCCCUCCUGCACCUCUGGACCAGUGGCAGGCGCAGCUCCACCGUGAGGAAACAGGAUUCCUCCCAGGCCAUUCCCCUGGUGGUGGAGAGCUGCAUCCGCUUCAUCAGCAGGCACGGUGAGUCUGGGGCAUUGCUAGAAAAUAAAAUAAAAUAAAAUAAANAAGGGGAAGAUCCC